RNAcentral lists this small nucleolar RNA (91 nucleotides) under Jatropha curcas. RNAcentral's name for it is "Small nucleolar RNA R11/Z151". It matches the Rfam family "Small nucleolar RNA R11/Z151". Rfam says of the family: snoR11/Z151 is a member of the C/D class of snoRNA which contain the C (UGAUGA) and D (CUGA) box motifs. Most of the members of the box C/D family function in directing site-specific 2'-O-methylation of substrate RNAs. Lineage: Eukaryota; Viridiplantae; Streptophyta; Magnoliopsida; Malpighiales; Euphorbiaceae. The record is from Rfam by way of RNAcentral.
AGGCUUAUGAUGAUAACAUAAAUUAUCUUAGCGGAUUUCAGUGAGAUAAAUUUAUUUAUCAAUGAUCUGAUUGUUACACACACUGAAGCCU